Molecule: non-coding RNA, 967 nt
Organism: Pelobates cultripes (western spadefoot toad)
Lineage: Eukaryota; Metazoa; Chordata; Amphibia; Anura; Pelobatidae
Source: the annotation of a GenBank genome assembly
AUUUUAACUGUGAAUGUCAUAAUGUUGUUAGUAUUUACUGUAAAAAAAAACACACAUAUUUGUGUUCAGUGAUGUCUUACGAGUAAAACAGUACCCUUAUCUACAGGUCUUAUGGGGUUUUGUAAAGUUACUCGGUCAAAUACAGAUCUUUUUCCAUUUUCAGUUUUUACAAAUUGAAAUUUGCCAGAUGGGUUUGCCUUUGAGACUAUAUCGCAGCCCAGAAAUGAAAAUUACCCCCAUCAUGGUAUACCAUUUGCAAAAGUAGACAAUGCAGGGUAUUUAAAAUGGGGUAUGUCCAGUCUUUUUUAGUAGCCACAAACCCUCGCCAAAGUUUCCGUUCAUAUUUGUUUUUAUAUAAAUAGUACCUAUGUUAAUAAUAUUGAAUAUUCACGGAUAGAGUCCCAAUGACGAAAAUGUGUUAUUAUUAAACUAAUAUAAGCUGAAUGUGUGUACAAGACAUGUAUAUAUCACAUGCUGUCACAUUACUAAGUACUACACAUAGUUUAACAUAAUGAGACAGUGUAACUAAAAAAACAGACACAGGAUUGCCAGAAAGAGAUAAUACUAAAGUAAUUAAGUUUACUUUUUAAAUUUAAUGGAUUGCUACAAGGUUCCAUUGUAUUAGAGAAGGUAAACACCUCCCCCCUCUCCAAUACCCUAGAGGGAAGGACGAACACACACAAGGGAAAGGCGAGAGUAUCCCCAACUGACAGAUACCCAGUAGAACUAUCUGAAGCGGACCAAUGCUCUCGCUCCCCCACAACCCUGGCGGGCACCAAACAGACCAUUACCACACUAGUGACACACUCGACUAGCAGAGACCAGAAACCUGUCACACUGGCACACAACAUGACUAAACACAGUCCCCACAAGUCAAGAGGGCAAAUCAACCCGCCAGAGAACAUAGCUCAUCCUACAAUAUUUGUGUUAAUCCCCUCAGGCGGUACUAUACCCGCAACUUACCUAU